Molecule: ribosomal RNA, 440 nt
Filed under: uncultured bacterium
Lineage: Bacteria
Description: partial 16S ribosomal RNA
Rfam family: Bacterial small subunit ribosomal RNA
Source: RNAcentral
CCUACGGGUGGCAGCAGUGGGGAAUAUUGCACAAUGGGGGAAACUCUGAUGCAGCGACGCCGCGUGAGUGAUGACGUAUCUCGGUAUGUAAAGCUUUGUCAGUAGGGAAGAAAAUGACGGUACGUGACCAAUAAGCUCCGGCUAACUACGUGCCAGCCGCCGCGGUAAUACGUAGGGGGCAAGCGUUAUCCGGAUUUACUGGGUGUAAAGGGAGCGUAGACGGCAGGGCAAGUCUGGAGUGAAAGGCGGGGGCUCAACCCCCGGACUGCUGUUGAAACUGCCAGGCUGGAGUGCAGGAGAGGUGAGUGGAAGUCGUAGUGUAGCGGUGAAAUGCGUAGAUAUUAGGAGGAACACCAGUGGCGAAGGCGGCUUACUGGACUGUAACUGACAUUGAGGCUCGAAAGCGUGGGGAGCAAACAGGAUUAGAUACCCCAGUAGUC